This is a long non-coding RNA of Grus americana (Whooping crane), 5761 nucleotides long. RefSeq lists it as uncharacterized. NCBI's taxonomy places the organism in Eukaryota, Metazoa, Chordata, Aves, Gruiformes, Gruidae. The record is from RefSeq and is a predicted model, not a curated record. The transcript has 2 exons.
ACAACCUUUUAGCUUUAUUUUUUAUGAACAGGGAGAAAAGAACUGUAUAGAAAGAGAGACAACCGGGAGAGAAGGGAAGAGCAAAGAGAGGGAGAGAGAGAGAGAGAUAGGGAGAUAUAGAGAGGUAGUGAGAUAGAGCGGUAGAGAGGGGGAGCGACCAAGUCGGGGAUGAGUCUAAUUACCACCACUCCGAGUCCAGUGAUGUUCCAUUGGCUCCCUCUAUGGUGUCCAAGCAUCGCAGGUUUUGUUGAAGCAGGUCCCGGAAGGUGCACGAGGAGGAGAGGAAGAAGGAGAAAAAGCCCCGCCACCUACCGGAGCUCCUUUAUAUAGGGUCCCACGCUCAUGCGUAGAUCGUGACUGCAUACGUGCAGUUCGUGCGGUACGUGUUGCCUCCUCGGGAAGCCUUUUCGCGCCCUGGUUCUCGUGCAUGCGCACGGUGGUGCUCGUCCGCAGACUCCGAGGCAGGAUGUUAAUGUAGGGAAAUGGUGGUGCGACGGCAAUGUUGAGACAAACUGCAUACAGUAGUGGUCCGCUACAGUUAUCAACAUUAUUCUCGCAAUAAAUCCAAAACACAGCACUAUACCAGCUGCUGGAAAGAAAAUUAACUCUAUCUCAGCUGAAACAAGGACAGAGGCUUUCCCUCCCUGCUGGUAUCUCCAUGGCAGAUGUGUCCUGGAAAAGUGCUGAGCUGAGGAUAGCUGAUCCCAUCUGCCCACACUCAGGUCCAAGGGUUGGUUGUGCCUGGUCCUCUGCACCCCACACCCACCCAUCUGUGGGGCAGGACGGUGAUGGGUUGAACCCCCUCACCACAGGAGACAGCCCUGAGCAGGGAUAUUAGGCACAAGGGCAUCCUGCUGUGGGGCAGAUGGAGAUGGAGACCUGCAGUCCAACCCACACCUUAGAGGCCUGCAGCAACAGGUUGCCAAGGGGCUGAAGGUUUUGGUGAUUUCAUAGAAUCAUAGAAUAAUAGAAUGGUUUGGGUUGGAAGGGACCUCAAAGACCAUCUAGUUCCAACCCCCCUGCUGUGGGCAGGGACACCCUCCACUGGACCAGGUUGCUCAAAGCCUCAUCCAGUGUGGCCUUAAACACUUCCAGGGAUGGGGCAUCCACAACCUCUCUGGGCAACCUCUUCCAGUGCCUUACCACCCUCACAGGGAAGAAUUCUUUCUAACAUCUAAUCUAAAUCAACCCUCUUUUAGUUUAAACCCAUUACCCCUUGUCCUAUCACUAUGCUCCCUCAUAAACAGUCCCUCACCAUCUUUCCUGGAGGCCCCUUCAGGUACUGGAAGGCCACAAUUAGGUCUCCCUGGAUCCCUCUCUUCUCCAGGCUGAACAACCCCAACUCUCUCAGCCUGUCUUCAUAGCAAAGGUGCUCCAGCCCUCCAAUCAGCUUUGUGGCCCUCCUCUGGACUCGCUCCAACAGCUCCAUGUCCUUCUUGUACUGUGGACCCCAGAGCUGGAUGCAGUAGUACAGAGAGGUCUCAUGAGAGAGGAGCAGAGGGGCAGAAUCACCUCCCUUGACCUGCUGGUCACACUGUUUUGGAUGCAGCCCAGGAUACGGUUGGCUUUCUGGGCUGCAAGUGUGCAUUGCUGGCUCAUGUUGAUCUGCUCAUCAAUCAAUACCCCCAAGUCCUUCUCCUCAGGGCUACUCUCAAUCUAUUAUCGACCCAGCCUGUAGUUGUGGUUGGCAUUGUGCCGACCCACGUGCAGGACCUUCCACUUGGCCUUGUUGAACUUCAUGUGAUUGACAUGGACCCACCUCUACAGCCUCUCCAGGUUGGCAUCCCUUCCCUCCAGCGUGCCCACCACACCACACAGCUUGGUGUCGUCGGCAAACUUGCUGAGGGUGCACUUGAUCCCACUGUCUGUGUCACUGACAAAGAUGUUAAACAGUGCUGGUCCCAGCACCAACCCCUGAGGGAUGCCACUUGUCACUGAUCUCCACUUGGACAUUGAGCCGUUGACCACAACUCUUUGAGUGCAACCAUCCAGCCAGUUCCUUAUUCACCGAGUGGUCCGUCCAUUGAAUCCAUGUCUCUCCAAUGUAGAGACAGGGAUGUCAUGUGGGACAGUGUCAAAUGCCUUGCACGACUCCAGGUAGAUGACGUCUGUCGCUCUUCCCUUGUCCACCAAUGCUGUGACCCCAUCAUAGAAGGCCACCAAAUUUGUCAGGCAUGAUUUGCCCUUAGUGAAGCCAUGUUGGCUGUCACUAAUCACCUCCUUGUUUUCCAUGUGCCAGAGCAUAGUUUCCGGGAGGAUCUGCUCCAUGAUCUUGCCAGGCACAGAGGUGAGACUGACCAACCUGCAGUUCCCUGUGUCUUCCUUUUUACCCUUUUUAACAACGGGGGUUAUGUUUCCCCUUUUCCAGUCAGUGGGAACUUCACUGGACUGCCAGGAUGUCUCAGAUAUGAUGGAGAGUGGCUUGGCCACUUCAUCCACCAGUUCCCUCAGGACACACAGAUGCAUCUCAUCAGGUCCCAUGUACUUGUGCACCUCCAGGUUCCUUAGAUAUUCUCAGAAUUGAUCUUCUCUUACACUGGGCGGUUCUUCAUUCUCCCAGUCCCUGAUUUAGCUUUCUGUGACCUGGGCAGUGUGGCUAGAGCCCUUGCUGGUGAAGACUGAGGCAAAGAAGUCGAGUACCUCAGCCUCCUCCAUAUCCUGGGUAACCAGGUCUCCCAUUUCAUUCUGGAGGGGACCCACAUGUUCCCUCAUCUUCCUUUUAUAACUGAUGUACCUGUAGAAACUUUUCUUGUUGUCCUUAAACAUCCCUGGCCAGAUUUAAUCCUAUCAGGGCUUUGGCUUUCCUAACCUGAUCCCUGGCUGCUCAGAAAUUUUCUCUGCAUUCCUCCCAGUGUACCCGCCCUUGCUCCCACCCUCUGUUUUACACCGUGGGUUAACCAUCUCAAUCUAUAUCAACACACCAUGGCUUUAUUUUUCUUUCUCUAGGCAUCUCUCAUUGCAUCCUGCCUCGUUUCCCCUUUUAUUGAAAAACUUAAUUUUCAGAUUUGAGCACUAUCUGCACUCCUCCUCUAAUUUCUUUAAUUUUAUACCUCUCCAGUUUGAGGUCUCAGUCUGCACAAGUACAGCUGGAACUUGGUUUCAGCUCUCAUAAUCUUGGCUACUUUAUGGCCUGACACUGAUUAUGGCAAUAAUGCAAUGGCAAGAAGCAAUGGCUUCUCCCCUUUACUCUUUAGCAACAAGGAAAAAAAAAAACCCGAGGGAAAAAAAAAACCAAACUUACGUUGGAAGGGACCUCUGAAGGGACUUCUGGAUGUCCUCUAGCCCAAUGUCCUGAUCAAAGGGGGUUUAGUUAGAUGAGGAUGCUUGAGCCUUGAAUCCUCCAUGGAUGGAAUUCACUCAGCUGCUUGUAAUAUUUGACCACCCUCAUGGUAAAAAGCUACCAAAAAAAUUUUUCCUUACAUUUAACUGGAAUUUCUCAUGUUGCAGCUUGUGCCUGUUGCCUCUUACCCAACCAAGGUGCAUCUCCAAGAAGAUGUCAUACUGUGGUGGGUUGACCCUGGCUGGGGGCCAGGUGCCCACCAGAGCCGCUCUAUCACUCCCCUCUUCAGUAAGGCAGGGAGGGGAGAAAGGAGGAUGGAAAAAACAACCCCAAACUCGUGGGUCGAGGUAAAGGCAGUUUAAUGUAGCUAAAGCAAAAAGACGCAUGCAGAAGCAAAGCGAAAAGCAAAAGAUUAUUCUCUACUUCCCAUCAGCAGGCGAUGUCCGGCAACAAAUGCCCCCGCCCUGUUCCUCCCCCUAUCUCUCACUUUCUUAUUGCUGAGCAGACGUCAUAUGGUAUGGAAUAUCCCUUUGGUCAGUUUGGGUCAGCUGUCCUAGCUGUGUCCCCUCCCAAGGUCUUGCCCACCCCCAGCCUGCUGCUGGGGGGGAAAAGAAAUGUUGGAGAGAGCCUUGGUGUGUGCUGGCACUGCUCAGUAGUAGCCAAAACACUGGUGUGUUAUCAACAGUUUGCUAGCUACCAACACACAGCACAGCACCGUGAGGGCUGCUGUGGGGAGAAUUAACUCCAUCUCAGCCAGACCCAAUACACAUACGAACAGAAGAAUGUAGCAAGGAUGUUGAGCCCCAAACGGCUCCCUGAGCCUUGCAGACAUUGUUACCUGGAGAGGUUGUGGAGGCUCCAUCCUUGGAGAUAUUCAAAAGGCAUCUGGACAAGGUUGGCAACUGGCUCCAGGUGGUCCUGUUGAGUUGGGGGGAGUUGGACCAGAAGUCCCUUCCAACCUCUACAAGUCUAUGUUUCUGUGAUUCUGUACAAACUACGUGACAUGUGAAACCACAGACUUCAAAAUCUACAGAGUGUAGGUGUAUACGUACCUAAUUACUGUGUGUGCUUUAAUUUUCACUUCCUCUCUGCUGUUUAAUCAUUUGCAGACAUGGUGAUAGAAAGUGUAGAAGAUGACAAGCGGUGUGAUACAGAGGCAUAGAAGACUUCCUUAGUCUGCUGAGUUGGUGAAGUAUUGACGACGGAACAAAAUGCAAGUUAGAAAGCAAUUCUUCAGUUUAUGGAGAAAUCAUUAUAAUGUGUUGUCUGUAACACUUUAUUCCAUAAUUCUGAUUGUGGUCGAAGAAAUAAUGGAGAUUGAAUUUAAAUGUCCACAGAAGAAGGCAUUACAGAAAUUCUAUGUUGCUUCCUACUUUUUCUGUCCAGCAUUCAUUACAUUUUUCCUGAGCUUGACCUCCCACCCUGCCUGCAUUCCCUGGGCUCGCUGCAUUGGGAAAUGCUCGUGCUGCCGGAAGAGUGAGAUAAUUUUUAAGGCACUUCUACCUCCUCUGAUUUGGUGCGUGAUCCUCCUGUGCGAUGGCAGAUAUAUUGACUGUGUGUUUUCAACAAAUGAAGGAAACGACAACAAAAACGCAAACCAAAGCAGAGCAGCAGAAUUACCCAGUGAAUUCUACAUAAUGUCUCAGAUUGCAGGGUUGUUCAUUCUUGCUUUUGUCGUCACUCUUUAUGGCCUGUACCAUGUGUACCCGUUCUGGUUCUGCUGUAACUAUGAAGGACAUGAGAGAGAGGAGCUGGAGAGCCUAUUAGAGGAAGAAACAAGGAAACAUAUUGAAGAAAUGAAGAAAGAGGGUGCAGAGCAGAUAAUGGAACAGAAAGUGAAACCUUCUCUCCAGCGUGUUGAUACAAAUUUCUGGAAAAACGUAGAUUUAAGAAAAAUAGCGAAAAAAAUACAGGAAGUUGUAGAGUCUGCUGUUAGAGAUACAUGGGCGGCAAGACAACAAACAGAUGAACAAAAUGUGCCUCUCACCUCUCGCGUUGACAUGACCACCGCAGAACUGACCCUAUCAAGUAACACUUUGUGCUGAAGAGGUGUGCAGCUACUGUUGGGCCAGAACAGUUGCCGAUGCGGUAACACCAGGAUGCUCAAUCUGUCCAUCCUGGGCUUGGUGAGGGAAAGCACUCACCCUGCUCCCACCUCAGUCCUCCUGACCGCUGAAGCAGGUCUGGCUUUUUCGGUGUAGUCAGAAGAGUAAGUUGGGUUUAUUGUCCUGCUCCAGCCAGGGUCAUCAAGCUGAUGGGUACCAUCAGUCACCUUAUUAUCGUGGCCCUCAUUUUUUUGCUCUUCUACCUCUCUCUCUUCACCCCAGUGUUGAGUUUCUGGUCCCAGUUUUACUAUAUCUGUACUCAAAACUGGUAGUUCUAUCCUGUUACCUGGUGCUUCCUCAACAUUGUGCUGGUUUGCGCCAUUCCUGCUUGCAAGGAAUUAGCUAGUGCCUGAUUGCAAUAAAACUUAAUGAGCAC